AGGUAGGUCACCGUGCGGGCUGUGGCGCCGGGCACGGGACAGGCCGGCCUCACCGCGCCUAGGCCCGGGCGGCCAGCCAGACCGAAGUCCAUGUGCCUGACACUUGGCCAAAACUGAAAACAUCAGAGUUUGGAGUAAAGAAAUGUUUACUGAUUAAGAAGGCACCAAAGAAGAAGAUGGGAGACCUUGUGGUGCUUCAAUUCCAUCUUGCUCAUUGGAUCAGGCCAAUGGUUUUUAAGGGGCUUGGAGGAACAGGUAUGCAGAAAUUCUGGUGGAGUAAGUUUUAAUUGGAGGACCUCGGAACUUGACCAUUGAUGGUAAAGGGGCAUCAACACUGGACCUUCCUGGACAAUGGACCAUCGGCUUCUGAAAGGGUUCUGGUGUUCAAGUUCCAGUUAUGCCCUGGUUCUUUGGUUCCAUGAGUUAGGGGACAAGACUUUGGUCCCAGGUGCAGCUGGAGGCUAAAGUUCUCUCCUCUGCACAUGCCCUGGAUGCACGACUUACAGCCUUGGUCUGCAGUCUCUGAAAAGCAACUCAGUAUCUCCUUAAACAGGAUAGGACCAUUUUGAGCUUGUUCUGCAGUUACAUUUGUGUUUGCAAUGUUUUCUCUUUGGAUUUUGACAUUUUGGCUAUGAUAUAUCUGGAUAUUAGUCUCUUUGCAUUUAUCCUAGUUGGAGUUCAUUAAGCUUCUUGAACAUAUGGAUUAAAGUUCAUUAAUGAAA
Long non-coding RNA from Hipposideros armiger (great roundleaf bat), 722 nucleotides. RefSeq lists it as uncharacterized. The transcript has 2 exons. NCBI's taxonomy places the organism in Eukaryota, Metazoa, Chordata, Mammalia, Chiroptera, Hipposideridae. The record is from RefSeq and is a predicted model, not a curated record.